GCCGAUUUUUUUUGUCCCAGUCCGCCCCUGGAUGUGACUAACGGCGUUAAAAUAAAACGGCGUUGCUAAGGGCGUUAUUUUUUCAUUGACGGAUAAUCUAAUUGUUUCCACGCCGUUACCGACGAUUUGAUGUGGUGAAAAGUAACGCGCUCACCACUGGUCUCAGAGGAUCCAACACUGAAGAAGAGACGUGACACCAGUUUUUUCAGUUUACGGGUCAUUCAGUGAAACCCAUGUUAAAUGUUGAGACAGAAUAUCUAACGUGAUUUGGCAUGAAAUAUAGGUUACAUGUGAUGUGACAGGUAGUUUGAAAUGUAAUGUUAUUGUCUGGGCAUUUUUACAGCAAAGAUGACAGAGAGAAGGAGAGGGAGGAGAAAAACUCCUGAUCAGGAUGCUAUUGACCACAUUACCAUUGGAGAAGACAAAUCUUUCCUGGAAGGAAGAUUUAUUAACACACAUAAAGGGAGAGGUGUGCUUACACAAGACUACAUUGAACCAAAAAGUUUUGUGGUGGAGUAUCGUGGAGUUUUGUCUCUGAGCGACAGUGCAGAUGACAAAAACAGCAAAUAUGCAUUUGAGUUCAUGUGGAAUGGGAAGCACUAUUGCAUAGAUGCUUCAAAAGAGGACGGAACACUGGGACGACUAGUGAACGAUGAUCACAUACAUCCCAACUGCAAAGUCAAGAGGAUAAUGGUCAAAGGAAGGCCACACUUGUGUCUAUUUUCCAUCAAGGAAAUCUUUCCAGGCGAGGAGAUAACAUUUAACUAUGGCCAUGACUCUUGGCCAUGGCGCUCAGUGGCACCCUGUGAAGAACCAUCUGACCCAAACUUGACGAAAAGUGAGCCAGUCUCAGAAAAGG
This is a long non-coding RNA of Gadus morhua (Atlantic cod), 859 nucleotides long. RefSeq lists it as uncharacterized. Lineage: Eukaryota; Metazoa; Chordata; Actinopteri; Gadiformes; Gadidae. The record is from RefSeq and is a predicted model, not a curated record. The transcript is spliced from 4 exons.